CAUAGAACCCUAGAAAUGGUUGCGUUGAAAUGGUCCUUGAAGGUCACAGAACCAUGGAAUCCCAAAACUGGUUGGCUUGGAAUGGUCCUCGAAGGUCACAGAACCAUGGAACAGUAGAACUGGUUGCGUUGGAAUGGAACUUAAAGGUCACAGAACCAUGGAACCCCAGAACUGCUUGGGUUGGAAUGGUCGUUAAAUGUCACAGAACCAUGGAACCCUUGAACUCGUUGGGUUGGAAUGGUCCUUAAAGGUCACAGAACCAUGGAACCAUAGAAAUUGUUGGGUUGGACCUGAACUUAAAGGUCACAGAACCAUGGAACCCUUGAACAUGGAUGCGUUGGAAUCGUCCUUAAAGGUCACAGACCCAGGCAACCAGAGAACUGGUUGGGUUGGAAUGGUCCUUAAAGGUCACAGAACCAUGGAACCCUUGUAAUGGUUGGGUUGGAAUGGUCCUUGAAGGUCACAGAACAAUGGAAUACUAGAACUGCUAGGUUGGAAUGUAACUUAAAGGUCACAGAACCAUGGAAUCCUAGAACUGGUUGCGUUGGAUUCAUCCUUAAAGGUCACAGACCCAGGCAACCCCAGAACUGGUUGGGUUGGAAUGGUCCUUAAAGGUCACAGAACCAUGGAAUCCCAGAACUGGUUGGGUUGCAAUUGUCCUUAAAGGUCACAGAACCAUGGAACCCUUGAAAUGGUUUGGUUGGAAUGGUCCUUGAAGGUCACAGAACCACGGUACACUAGAACUGCUUGGUCGGAAUGGUCCUUAAAGGUCACAGAACCAUGGAACCCCAGAACUGGAUGGGUUGGAAUGGUCCUUAAAGGUUAGAGAACCAUGGAACACCAGAACUGGUUGGGAUGGAAUGGUCCUUGAAGGUCACAGAACCAUGGAAUCCUAGAACUGGUUGCGUUGGAUUCAUCCUUAAAGGUCACAGACCCAGGCAACCCCAGAACUGGUUGGGUUGGAAUGGUCCUUAAAGGUCACAGAACCAUGGAAUCCCAGAACUGGUUGGGUUGCAAUUGUCCUUAAAGGUCACAGAACCAUGGAACCCUUGAAAUGGUUUGGUUGGAAUGGUCCUUGAAGGUCACAGAACCACGGUACACUAGAACUGCUUGGUCGGAAUGGUCCUUAAAGGUCACAGAACCAUGGAACCCCAGAACUGGAUGGGUUGGAAUGGUCCUUAAAGGUCACAGAACCAUGGAACACUAGAAAAGUUUGGGAUGGAAUGGUCCUUAAAGGUAACAGAACCAUGGAACCCCAGAACUGGUUGGGUUGUAAUGGAACUUAAAGGUCACAGAACCACGGAACCCCAGAACUGGUUGGGUUGGAAUGGUCCUUAAAGGUCACAGAACCAUGGAACCCUAGAACUGGUUGGGAUGGAAUGGUCCUUAAAGGUCACAGAACCAUGGAACCCUAGAAAUGGUUGGGUUGGAAUGGUCCUUAAAGGUCACAGAACCAUGGAACCCCAGAAAUGGUUGGGUUGGAAUGGUCCUUAAACGUCACAGAACCAUGGAACCGCAGAACUGGUUGUUAUGGAAUGGUCAUGAAUCGUCACAGAACCAUGGAACCCUACAACUGGUAGGGUUGGAAUGGUCCUUAAAGGUCACAGAACCAUGGAACAGUAGAAAAGGUUGGGUUGGAAUGGUCCUUAAAGGUCACAGAACCACGGAACACUAGAACUGGUUGGGUUGGAAUGGAACUUAAAGGUCACAGAACCAUGGAACCCUAGAACAGGUUGGGUUGGAAUGGAACUUAAAGGUCACAGAACCAUGGAACCCCAGAACUGGUUGGGUUGGAAUGGUCCUUGAAGGUCACAGAACCAUGGAACCCUAGAACUGGUUGGGUUGGAAUGGUCCUUGAAGGUCACAGAACCAUGGAACCCUAGAACUGGUUGGGUUGGAAUGGUCCUUAAAGGUCAUAGAACCAUGGAACCCUACAACUGGUUGGGUUGGAAUGGUCCUUGAAGGUCACAGAACCAUGGAACCCCAGAACUGCUUGUGUUGGAAUGGUCCUUGAAGGUCACAGAACCACGGAAUACUAGAACUGCUUGGGUUGGAACUGAUCUUAAUGGACACAGAACCAUGGAAUCCCAGAACUGGUUGGCUUGGAAUGGUCCUUAAAGAUCACAGAACCAUGGAACCCUAGAACAGGUAGGGUUGGAAUGGUCCUUAAAGGUCACAGAAUCAUGGAACACUAGAACUGCUUGUGUUGGAAUGGUCCUUAAAGGUCACAGAACCAUGGAACACUAGAACUGCUUGUGUUGGAAUGGUCCUUAAAGGUCACAGAACCAUGGAACCCUAGAACUGGCUGGGUUGGAAUAUUCCCUAAAGGUCACAGUACCAUGGGACCCUAGAAAUGGUUGGGUUAGAAUGGUCCUUAAAAUUCACAGAACCAUGGAAAGCCAGUACUGGUUGGGAUGGAAUUGUCCUUAAAGUUCAGAGAACCAUGUAACCCCAGAACUUGUAGGGUUGGAAUGGUCCUUAAAUGUCACAGAACCAUGGUACACCAGAACUGCUUGGGUUGGAAUGCUCAAAGUUCACAGAAACAAGGAACCGCAGAACUGCUAUGGUUGGAAUGGUCCUUAAAGGUUAGAGAACCAUGGAACACCAGAACUGGUUGGGAUGGAAUGGUCCUUGAAGGUCACAGAACCAUGGAAUCCUAGAACUGGUUGCGUUGGAUUCAUCCUUAAAGGUCACAGACCCAGGCAACCCCAGAACUGGUAGGGUUGGAAUGGUCCUUAAAGGUCACAGAACCAUGGAACCCUUGAAAUGGUUUGGUUGGAAUGGUCCUUGAAGGUCACAGAACCACGGAACACUAGAACUGCUUGGUUGGAAUGGUCCUUAAAGGUCACAGAACCAUGGAACCCCAGAACUGGAUGGGUUGGAAUGGUCCUUAAAGGUCACAGAACCAUGGAACCCCAGAACUGGUUGGGUUGUAAUGGAACAUAAAGGACACAGAUCCACGGAACCCUAGAAUUGGUUGGGAUGGAAUGGUCCUUGAAGGUCACAGAACCAUGGAACCCUAGAAAUGGUUGCGUUGAAAUGGUCCUUGAAGGUCACAGAACCAUGGAAUCCCACAAUUGGUUGGCUUGGAAUGGUCCUCGAAGGUCACAGAACAAUGGAACAGUAGAACUGGUUGCGUUGGA
This is a long non-coding RNA of Lagopus muta (rock ptarmigan), 3143 nucleotides long. RefSeq lists it as uncharacterized. The transcript is spliced from 6 exons. The record is from RefSeq and is a predicted model, not a curated record. Lineage: Eukaryota; Metazoa; Chordata; Aves; Galliformes; Phasianidae.